CCAAGUUAUUGUGCGUCAAUGCUUAGCAGGAGGCAUUACGGAACCGGUCACUCAAUGGAGCCUGCAUAGGCGAGGGCAUAUGGCAAAGCCUCUUCCCCUCAUCUGAUUUUGAGAGCCCUUCCACGCUGGGAUUUAGGAUGUGUUGUCCUGGAGUCUGGGCCAGGACACCGCCGUAGAGAACUGGCUAAAUUGACUUUGGUCAGGGCAGUACGUCUCUGCCGAUAUAGGUGAGUAAAUUAUCCUGGUUCUGGGACUCAGG
Molecule: long non-coding RNA, 259 nt
Organism: Sardina pilchardus (European sardine)
Lineage: Eukaryota; Metazoa; Chordata; Actinopteri; Clupeiformes; Clupeidae
Exons: 3
Source: RefSeq, a predicted model, not a curated record